CACCUCACGAGAAUAGAAGAUAUUUAGAAGAAAUUGAAAAGAAUUAGGGAAGAGAUAGAAGAAUAGAGUCACAUUAGAGAGAAUAAAGAGAGGAAAGGAAGGAAAAGAAGAGAGGAAGAUAAGAAGAUAAUAAUAGAUAGAAGCAUGGUAUUUGGUAGACUAUCACUGAUCUGCCAUUGAUGAAGCAUUCCAGUUGUUGCCCACUGAUCAAAGAUCUCUUAUACCAAUUUGUUACAGAAGCCUUGAUUUAGGGUUCUACCUCAGAAAAUAACAAGAAAGUAGAUGAGAGAAUGGAAGAAAUAGGGAUGAGAAGUAGGAGAAAGGAGAUAAGAGAAUAGAAGAAGUAGGGAUGAGAAGUAGAGAGAGAGAGAGAAUUAUAGAGAGAGAAGU
RNAcentral lists this unclassified non-coding RNA (390 nucleotides) under Hevea brasiliensis (rubber tree). The record is from RNAcentral. Lineage: Eukaryota; Viridiplantae; Streptophyta; Magnoliopsida; Malpighiales; Euphorbiaceae.